Long non-coding RNA from Sander lucioperca (pikeperch), 367 nucleotides. RefSeq lists it as uncharacterized. The record is from RefSeq and is a predicted model, not a curated record. The transcript is spliced from 4 exons. NCBI's taxonomy places the organism in Eukaryota, Metazoa, Chordata, Actinopteri, Perciformes, Percidae.
UACGCCAUUUUGUUGGAAAAGCACAGUGGAGAAGGCUGCACGUUAUAUCCACCUCCAUCCUCUUUGAUUACACCCUUGAGAAGGCAUAAUCUUUUCACACCACUUCCAUUAAAAAAACCAUCAAGUCAGCUCCUGUCUUGGCCACUUUUUUGGGAGAGUGUUUAACAUGCUGCAUAGACAUACGUAAACAUGUGGUGAGUCCAGAAGAAGACUACUGAAAUCGAGGACCCUGUUAAUGGAGCAGCCCACCAUUCAUCCAGGAGAGAACCAUGUCCGCAGAAAUGGAGGUGCUGCCUGAGCCUGACGGGACCCAGUGCUGGUAUAGAAACAACUAACAAGAUUAAGAGGUGAGUGCUACAUAACUCUU